This 484-nucleotide ribosomal RNA is filed under the name uncultured bacterium. RNAcentral's name for it is "partial 16S ribosomal RNA". It matches the Rfam family "Bacterial small subunit ribosomal RNA", at positions 29 to 523 of the family's 1533-position model. The record is from RNAcentral.
AGUGAACGCUGGCGGCGUGCUUAACACAUGCAAGUCGAACGAGAACGGGUUAUAGCUUGCUAUAAUUGUCAGCUAAGUGGCGCACGGGUGAGUAAUGUAUAGGUAAUAUGCCUCUUACUAAGGGAUAACAAAUGGAAACGUUUGCUAAUACCUUAUACUCCUUAUUAACAGAAGUUAAUAAGGGAAAGAUUUAUUGGUAAGAGAUUAGCCUGUAUUGUAUCAGUUAGUUGGUGGGGUAAUGGCUUACCAAGACUAUGACACAUAACUGGUUUGAGGGGAUGAUCAGUCACACUGGAACUGAGACACGGUCCAGACUCCUACGGGAGGCAGCAGUGGGGAAUAUUGCACAAUGGACGAAAGUCUGAUGCAGCAACGCCGCGUGGAGGAUGACACAUUUCGGUGCGUAGACUCCUUUUAUAUGAGAAGAUAAUGACGGUAUUAUAUGAAUAAGCACUGGCUAACUCCGUGCCAGCCGCCGCAGUAA